GAUAACUUUAAAGAUAAGAGGUUGCUGACGAAUCUUGGUAUUUGUUAGAAAUUCAUUCAAUUUAAUACCUCAUAUUUUUCUAAGUUAUUUGCUUUUGAAGGCGUUUAGAUGUCCGUGUGUACUUCAGUGAAUUUCCAGCUUUUACAUCCCUGUGUAAGAUGGAAAUAACAUUUGAAUUGAAGAUUUAUAAUUUAGCCUUUAAAAUUGUAGAUUUUCAAUGACCAGAUCUUGUUUGAACUGGUAAAUACAGCUUCUUUCUUGCCAAUUCAUGACAUGAUUUCCUUCUGGACUUCUUUGUUGGCUUGCAUGUUAAUGCCCAGGUGCUGUAUUCUAGUUGGCUGUUAUACGAUGCCCUAGAGGUGGCUGCAUUUCAAGCGCGUUGUAUACUUUGGGAAGCUCCUUGGAAUAUUUGUGAUGGAAGGGCACUAAUUUUCUGCACAGAUAUCAGAUAUUGUUUAUGCUAAGAGGAUCGAUGGGCAGUGAUCAAUCCCGUGGGGGUUGAUAUAGAUGCAACAAUACAGCCAAGCACUCUCCCGUCCACUCCAAUACUCCACCAGAAUGAGAAGAGUGAGAGAAGUCUAUGGGAGAGCAUCAGCUGUCAACUCACCAUGGUGAAGAUACUGUGAGUAAACUUUCACCUAAGAUAACGCGAGGGACAUGAACAUAGAUGGUGUUGAUCUUAGACUUCUGCACAGAAAUAAUCUUAAAAUGCCAAUUAAUUUCUUCACCACAAGGUUGCUUAAUCAUGCUCUGAGAGAGAGACUGCAUCUGAUUUUUGUGGUUUUCAUCUAGUAAACCACGUCACAACAAGAACCAAAGGAUGGAAGUUGAGAUUAGAAAAGUUUAUGUUGGAAAUAAGAAACAGCUCUUGCAUAACAGGGGCAAUUAACCAUAACUGCUCAGCAAACAGCUUGCCAAAGGAAAACGCAAAAUCAUCAUCAUUUGGAGUCUUCAGAUUAUUAUUUGGGUAGCAACAAGGAGCCCUAAGCAUGGAUCAGAACCCCUGUGGGCUAGGCCCUGAUGUCUCUCUAAAAGAUAUGCUACAGUUCAGGCCCAAGUCACCCAACUUGAGGAUGAUCAGUCACUAAUGAGGGAAGAUUAAUUCCAUCUGUUACAGGAAUUACUGGAUGAAAUUCUAUAGCCUCUUUUAUGCAUAAGGGCAGACUGUGUGAUCAGCAUAGUCCGUUCUGACCUUUUAGACUCCAUGAAAACUGCUUCUCUAUACCAACCAAAGUGCACAGACCAUUUGUGGAUGAUACCCUGGCAGGCUGGGAUAAGUUAUUCUAGCUUUAACAGAAGGGACACGCUUGAGCAUACCUAACUGAAGGCACUAACUCUUGCCGAGUUCACAUGGCCUGCACAAGUGAUCCUUGCAUAAGGCCAGCAAUUGGAAUUGAACCUAGGACCUCUGGAGAAGCUUGGUGCAUGAGCCUCUAUCCCAGGAGCUAAAAGUCACCUGAUCUUUUGGCAAAGGCUGUAGAACAGUUUCGUUAUGCUAUCUGUCAGUGGGCUCGGUGCCUCUCAAGUGCACCCGAAGGUGAAUGGGUUCCGUGCGGACUUUGGCUGCUUUUGUGAAGGUUCUGACUUUUUUGAAAGCUGGAACUCCCCUCUGUGCCAAGCACCAGCUGAAAGAUUUUGCCCCUUUUAAGCCCCUACAAGAGCUCCUCACACCCUAUCAGCAGGUCAGUCAUCAGGCACCGGGAGCCCGUCCCAGGAAAACAUGAGGCUGAAUCAACCCUGUGAAAAGCUGGGGGGUUCCAAAUUUUUCCUGAAAUCUGGAGGGCUGUGCUUGAGUUUGAAAAUUUGAGAGUUCUUACAACUUCUAUUGGACAACCAAAGGAAAAAGUGGAACAGCAGAGUGCCCUGAUCACCACUGGAGGGGAAAGCAGCCAACUCCGGCUAAAGCAUCUCCUUGUUUUGCUGUCUGGAUCAACCAAACCACGUAGGAUAAUUAAACACCUUCUGCAGCUUUCCACAUCCUGUCUCCCACCUUUCCCUUCCGUUCCUGCAAUUGGUAGCAUGUGGGCAGACUGCUGUGCCGAUCCCUUCUGAAAUCAGCAAGUUCUAUGUGGGCACAGUGGUCCGUCUGGGCGCAGUCAAUUGCAGGCAUGGGGAGUUACGUGGUAACUACUUCAGGCUAUGGUAUUUUUGCUCUCUCUUUCUCUCUCUCUCUUUCUCUCUCUCUCACAAACACUUUUCACAAUAACUUGAACCAGGCUUUUUAAAUCUGUUAUAAAUCUAUAAGUAGCAAAGGACCAUACUAGCAGAACACAUUUUGACUUCACUCAUGAAAAAAAAUAAGUGGUUCUUGAUAUUGUUUAAACAUAAAUGAAGGCUAAAUAAAAAAAAUGAUUGUACUUCGUAAUCAUGCUGUACCAAAUGCCAGUGUACGUAUGUGUCUGUUUACCUGUCAAUAUCCCUCAAAAGCAUUUGCAUUUUCCAUACAAAUAAUGUCAGCAUAUAUAUAUUUCCCUUUUGCAUCAAGCUAUUGUGCACUCCUACAAUGUUGCUAUAUAGAAUACAGUUCGUCAAAUACUGAUAAAAGUAGUGGUCUAGUUGUGUACUAGAAAGACAAGGUGUGGGAGGGAAUGUUCCCUAUAAGCUGAGUGCUAGGGCAAUCCCUCAGUAGAGAUUCA
Non-coding RNA from Pelodiscus sinensis (Chinese soft-shelled turtle), 2636 nucleotides. Lineage: Eukaryota; Metazoa; Chordata; Testudines; Trionychidae. The record is from RefSeq and is a predicted model, not a curated record.